This 212-nucleotide long non-coding RNA is filed under the name Lathyrus oleraceus (garden pea). RNAcentral's name for it is "Pisum sativum (pea) long non-coding RNA (PSAT_LNC018118)". Lineage: Eukaryota; Viridiplantae; Streptophyta; Magnoliopsida; Fabales; Fabaceae. The record is from RNAcentral.
UCUUGUCAGACCUUGUAGCUUUAACGAACAUCUCUUUACUUACUUUGAAGUCGUAUUUGGCAACCCUUCUUUUUUGGUUAUUCCAAUACAAUGAUAUCAUGUCUUAAUCCCCUCACUUGUUGGUUCAUACCAAUUUUACUCUUGGGUUCAUCUUUUCACCCCUUGUUGGAGUUCAAACAACAAAAUUCUUUGGUUCAGACCAUACCUUUAUC